UACGUAGGUGGCAAGCGUUGUCCGGAUUUACUGGGCGUAAAGGGAGCGUAGGCGGAUAUUUAAGUGGGAUGUGAAAGACUCGGGCUCAACCUGGGGGCUGCAUUCCAAACUGGAUAUCUAGAGUGCAGGAGGGGAAAGUGGAAUUCCUAGUGUAGCGGUGAAAUGCGUAGAGAUUAGGAAGAACACCGGUGGCGAAGGCGACUUUCUGGACUGUAACUGACGCUGAGGCUCGAAAGCGUGGGGAGCAAACAGG
Molecule: ribosomal RNA, 253 nt
Filed under: uncultured bacterium
Lineage: Bacteria
Description: partial 16S ribosomal RNA
Rfam family: Bacterial small subunit ribosomal RNA
Source: RNAcentral